UCCAUGCGCGGGCGGCAGCAGCAGCAUCGCCGCCCCGGCGCUCUGAGGCGGCAGGCGGAGCGGGCAGUGCCGCGCCGCGCCGCGACCCGCCGCCUCCCUCUCGUGUUCCCCGCUUGGCCGAGAUGGUGCGCUGAGUGAUUUCCACAAGAGGCUUCUGUACCCCUCCAAAGCAAGAAUACAUUAAAGAACCUUGUGUGAGGGCACAGCAGUGUACUCCUGGCUGGAAGGCUAACACCCAAGUGAAUUGUAUUGAAGAUUUCUAGACUUGGUGGGACAAAUAUCUCUACCUCCAAUUUAUGAAUACUGCUAGCUAUGGCUGUGGAACUCUGUUUGCUGCUGCUACUGUUUUGUGGAAGUACUAUUUCAGACGUACAGCCUAUAUACAAACCGCCUCCUGGGACUUUGGAUUUUGGAUUUGUACCAGCCAAGACAUAUGAUACAGGUGCAUACCAUGAACCUGGGCCAAUAGGAAUUUUGUUUAAAAUAGUACAUGCAUAUCUGUACUUAGUGCAACCAAAUUCUUUUCCUCAAGAUCUCGUCAGAAAACUAGCACAGCAGAAGUUUGGAAAUGCACAGGGCGAUUAUCAAAAGCCAGAGAAUGUUGUCCUGACUCUUCAGGCCAUCUACUAUGAAAUCGGUUUUAUAGUCUCCGCAGCCUUGGGAUUGCUAUUUAUUUUGUUACUGCCUCUUGUGGGACUUUGCUUCUGUAUGUGUCGUUGCUGUGACAACUGUGGUGGGGAAAUGCAUCAAAGACAGAAGAAAAAUGCUGACUGUCAGAGGAGCUGUUUUGCAACAUUUCUUUUUGUUGCUUCUUUAAUAAUAAGUGUUGGAGUGCUCUGUGCAUAUGCUGCCAACCAGCAUUUAACUAACCAAGUCCGAGGAGCAAAGAAACUGGUUAACAGUAAUUUUAAAGAUCUGAAAGUUUUCCUUAACGACACUCCAGCGCAAAUUGACUACUUGGUGAGCCAGUACAACACCACUAAGGAUAAAGCACUCUCUGACCUAAAUAAUGUUGGACCUUUGCUUGGAAGUAGAGUUCAAGAACAGCUGGGAAAAGAAGUACGUCCUGCACUUGAUGCAGCUCUGACAAUGGCAGGAGCCAUCAGAGAAACGAAGGAAGCACUGGAAAAUGUGAGUGUCUCUGUAGAGGUUUUGCAAGAGGGAACAGAGAGGCUUCAUGCAAACUUGACAGAUGUUAAAAUGCACCUAAGCAACACCCUCAAUGAUUCUGCAUGCUCUGCGACUCAGGCUGCCUCAACUUGCAAUAUCAUCAAGAAUUCAUUAAAUCAACUGAACAUCAAUGCCAAUUUUAGUGGGUUGCCGGGAGUGAGCUCACAGCUUGCGAAGGUCAAUGAUGUCCUUAAAAUAGACCUUUCUAGUCUGGUUCAAAAGGGUUAUGCAGCAUUUAAUGAUACUCCAGACUUAGUGGUGAAUCAAACAAGGAAUAUUUUAUCAGCUGUUCCUUAUAUCAAAAAUGUGCUGGAAUCCAUUGGUUCAAAUAUCAGUACCUUCACAAAAACCCUCCCUGUUCAGAAGAUUUUAGCAGAUCUGACGAUAUAUCUUACACAAAGUGAAGCAUAUGUUCAAGAUUAUUUUCCAGUAGUGGAGCAGUACGAUUUCUACAGGUGGCUGGGUUGCCUCAUUCUGUGCUGCAUGGUGGUCCUGAUUCUGAUCUUCUACUGUCUUGGAUUACUAUGUGGCACCUGUGGCUAUGAUAAACAUGCUUCUCCAACAACCAGAGGCUGCAUCUCCAACACUGGAGGAAACUUCCUCAUGGCUGGUGUUGGAUUCAGUUUUCUUUUCUCCUGGGUGCUGAUGAUUGUAGUCGUGCUCACUUUUGUCACAGGUGGAAAUGUAGAAAAACUGGUCUGUGAACCCUUUGAAGAUAAAACUUUAUUCAAGGUUUUGGAUACUCCCUACUUACUAAAUCAGCACUGGAAAAACUAUCUUUCUGGCAUCCUGUUUAAAAAUCCAAAUAUUAACUUGACUUUUGAAAAAGUGUACAGUGAUUGUAAGGAAAACAAAGGAAUUUAUACUUCCCUUCACCUAGAACACCUGUUCAAUAUCAAUGAAUUUCUAAAUAUUAGUAUGUAUACAGAAGAUGUAGCUCUCAAAAUUGAACAUAUUCAGAUAAACCUCAGCAAAAUCAUUCUGUUGGAUGAAAUUGGGAAGGAGAAUCUUCUGAAUUUCAGCUCUUCAGGAAUAGAAGGGAUAAACUUUGCAGCAUAUUUGGCGGAGAUCAAUAAAAGUGUUACCAAAGUUGGUCUUCUGUCAUUUGCUAAUGACUUAGAAGCAAGAGCAGACCAGCUGCCAAAAGGAGCACUGGAAAAUGCCUUAAAAGGACAUGCAAACAGCAUUCGAAUGAUUCAUAACCAGCAAGUCAUUCCACUAGAGCAAGCUAUGAAAUAUGUUAAAGCUAGGAGCACUUUAAAUCAGAGCAUCCGGUUACUGAAAAGGACAUCGUCUGAACUUAUGGUUAAGGUGAAAAAUGUCAUAAGCGCUGUUAAUGCUGCCCAGCUUCUCAUAAAUAACAACGCUUCUCUAGUUAUUGUCCAGGAGACAAAAAAGUACAUGGAUACCAUAGUUGGCUACUUUGAGCAAUACAUUGAGUGGGUCAAGGAGUCGAUUGCCAUGGAGGUAGCAGCAUGCAAGCCUAUUGCCAAUGUGAUAGAUACAGCAGUAGAUAUUUUUUUAUGCAGCUAUAUAACUGAUUCUGUGAAUACCUUCUGGUUUGGUUUGGGAGGCUCUUCAAUAUUUUUAAUUCCUGCCAUAAUUUUUGCUGUGAAACUCUCCAAAUACUAUCGUAGAAUGGAUACAGAGGAUGUAUAUGAUGAUUCCUCUGUCUCAGGGACUUGGCAUUUUACUUUAUGAUAACUGUUCUUGCACAUUUUCCCAUCAGUUUUGUUUUCACUGUUUUCUCCUCCUUGUUUUUGCUCAUUGCUCAGUUAGCCUGUGCACUGCAUUUCUCAGUUUUCACACUGGUCAUUUUUCAUUACACAUUUACUAGUCAGUAGAGCAGAAACAGGCAUGUACAGCUAAAAUUACUCACUUAUUAGUAUCUAGUUAAUUACUCCUCCUUUUCUGUGUUUUUUAGUGUUGAAACUAUACCCAUGAAAACGUAAGACAUUUUUGCUGGUAUUUGUUAAAAUUACUUCAUUCUGGUGGGAGGGUUUAUAUUUUUCAUGUAACUUGUUACUUCAAAUGAGGUAACGUGUUCUGUUUCACCAGACAAUAUAGAUUAUAUUAGAGUAUCCAACUCAAGAAUACCAAAAUACUUAAUUUUUGGAGGAUAUAUAAAAAUAUUUAAAAAUGAAAAAUUAUAAUGAUGCCAUAACUCCUGAAUGUUACAAAGAAAAAGUAUAUUCUAUUGUACAGACACAGUUUAUCUUUUCAUAUAAUACCAACAUCCAUGUACAUGUCUUAGAAGCCAUACUGUACAUAGCACAUUUUAUAGUUAACAUGGUCUUUCUUGGUGUAUUUAUUUUAUUACAGUACGGAAAAUGGUAAUAAUGGUUAUCAUAAAGAGCAUUUAUAUGGUAUACACAAUCCUGUUUUUACAAGCUCUGUGGAACAGUGGUAACACAUACUGGAAACAUGAAGGGGCUAUGUAAAUGAGGCUCGAGAUUCUUCUGUGGGAAUAUAUCAUUAUUCUUCCAAGUGUAUUGGCAUUUGCAUUCAUCUUCCAAAUCCUGAGCCACUUGUUUUAUGUCGCCCGUACUGUAAAUCCCAAUUGUACUAUUGAAUGUUAUGCCAUAAACUACUGUGCAGAAUAUUUUGCAAUCAGGGCACUGCCUCUUAAAUACCACUGUUCAAGGCUUAAAUUAAAACGGUUUUCGUUUUUUACUUUUUUA
RNA transcript from Strigops habroptila (Kakapo), 3851 nucleotides. It is a transcript of the gene named prominin 1, with no coding region annotated. NCBI's taxonomy places the organism in Eukaryota, Metazoa, Chordata, Aves, Psittaciformes, Psittacidae. The transcript has 29 exons. The record is from RefSeq and is a predicted model, not a curated record.